This 464-nucleotide ribosomal RNA is filed under the name Vreelandella stevensii. Its description in RNAcentral is "partial 16S ribosomal RNA". It matches the Rfam family "Bacterial small subunit ribosomal RNA", at positions 338 to 795 of the family's 1533-position model. Lineage: Bacteria; Pseudomonadati; Pseudomonadota; Gammaproteobacteria; Oceanospirillales; Halomonadaceae. The record is from RNAcentral.
CCUACGGGAGGCAGCAGUGGGGAAUAUUGGACAAUGGGCGAAAGCCUGAUCCAGCCAUGCCGCGUGUGUGAAGAAGGCCUUCGGGUUGUAAAGCACUUUCAGUGGGGAAGAAAGCCUUGGGGCUAAUACCCUCGAGGAAGGACAUCACCCACAGAAGAAGCACCGGCUAACUCCGUGCCAGCAGCCGCGGUAAUACGGAGGGUGCGAGCGUUAAUCGGAAUUACUGGGCGUAAAGCGCGCGUAGGCGGUCUGAUAAGCCGGUUGUGAAAGCCCCGGGCUCAACCUGGGAACGGCAUCCGGAACGGUCGGGCUAGAGUGCAGGAGAGGAAGGUAGAAUUCCCGGUGUAGCGGUGAAAUGCGUAGAGAUCGGGAGGAAUACCAGUGGCGAAGGCGGCCUUCUGGACUGACACUGACGCUGAGGGGCGAAAGCGUGGGUAGCAAACAGGAUUAGAUACCCGGUAGUC